This 64-nucleotide transfer RNA is filed under the name Paruterina candelabraria. RNAcentral describes it as "tRNA-Asp". Lineage: Eukaryota; Metazoa; Platyhelminthes; Cestoda; Cyclophyllidea; Paruterinidae. The record is from RNAcentral.
GUGACUUUAGUUUAAAAUAGAAUGGUGAUUUGUCUAGUCACUGGUGAUGUUAUAUCAAGUUACU